UGGCCAUUGUGAUUUCACCAGCAUAUGCUGU
This 31-nucleotide non-coding RNA is filed under the name Mus musculus (house mouse). The record is from RNAcentral. Lineage: Eukaryota; Metazoa; Chordata; Mammalia; Rodentia; Muridae.